This 72-nucleotide transfer RNA is filed under the name Richelia sp. RM2_1_2. Its description in RNAcentral is "tRNA-Val". It matches the Rfam family "tRNA". From Rfam's summary of the family: Transfer RNA (tRNA) molecules are approximately 80 nucleotides in length. Their secondary structure includes four short double-helical elements and three loops (D, anti-codon, and T loops). Further hydrogen bonds mediate the characteristic L-shaped molecular structure. tRNAs have two regions of fundamental functional importance: the anti-codon, which is responsible for specific mRNA codon recognition, and the 3' end, to which the tRNAs corresponding amino acid is attached (by aminoacyl-tRNA synthetases). tRNAs cope with the degeneracy of the genetic code in two manners: having more than one tRNA (with a specific anti-codon) for a particular amino acid; and 'wobble' base-pairing, i.e. permitting non-standard base-pairing at the 3rd anti-codon position. The record is from RNAcentral. Lineage: Bacteria; Bacillati; Cyanobacteriota; Cyanophyceae; Nostocales; Nostocaceae.
GGGCGCAUAGCUCAGCGGGAGGGCACUACGUUGACAUCGUAGGGGUCGGAAGUUCGAUCCUUCCUGCGCCCA